This 3526-nucleotide long non-coding RNA is filed under the name Coffea arabica (coffee). Its description in RNAcentral is "long non-coding RNA (CARA_LNC003695)". Lineage: Eukaryota; Viridiplantae; Streptophyta; Magnoliopsida; Gentianales; Rubiaceae. The record is from RNAcentral.
UAAAUUCAGAAAUAACAUUUUGAUAAACCAAACCAAACGCUCAAAUCUUUUACAAUACCAAGUUCAAUACAAAAGCUUCAACCAUAAUAUGAAACUAAAGGAUUUACAAUCACAAAUGUCUUCACGUUAACUCCCUAAGAUCCCACGUUCGUUCCUCGACCAUCAACUCCUAGAAGGAAAACAAAACUAAAGGGCUGACCUAAAGUUCAGUAAGGUUUGCCGAGUAAGUAACAUUUAAUAAACACUUAAAUUAGUACCAUUAAACAAGUAAUGCAUAUUUCAUUGUACAAUCACUUUCAUUAAGCAAUUGAGGAAACACUUCACUAAACAAUCACUUUUAAAAGGAUACGGUGCUCGCAUUAGAGCCACUUCAAUGUCAUUGAGCAUUUAUUUCAGUGUCAAGAGACACUCAUUUCACUGUCAUUGGACAUUCAUUUCAAUAUCAUUGCACAUUCCGCCAAUUCACCUCCUUAUGUCCUCCAAAACAAUAAACAAUCCCCUACAUUUAAUAAUCAGUUCAAUAAUUUCCCAACCUCAUGAUAAUACUUGAGUAUAAUGAAACAUUUACCCAAAACUACCGUCCUACCCGACCAAGCCCUUUGCUGGCUCGAAUAGUCCGUUGAACAGAGAGUUUUGGGGCCCAAUUCAGCCAAUGUGAUAAAAUACACACACGGCUUACAGUCAUGCACAUUUACAAUAUCACUUGAUCAAUUAUCAACCUUCAAACUCAACUAAGCCGAGUGCGAUAAAGUAUCCUCGACUUAGAAGGCGAGGAACAAUUGAGAUACACUUUGCAAUGAAUCACUUAGCAAUAUUUCAUAAUAAGUACAUUUGUCCCAUAAUUUCACUCAAGUACACAUAAACAGUUAAACACGUAAAUUCGAAAACACUCACCCUAAUCAAAAGUUACACUUCGAUCUCGGAAUUGCUUUCUUGCACACUGUUGUCUCCUGAGACAAGUUUAGGAUCUUAAGGUGAAUAUACAAUUCGUAUAUGAUCACUUAUCAUUUAUUACCUUAUGAGUUAAAUGAUUAAAGUCAAGUUUUGGCUUUAAAAGAACAAGAUAUAACAAUUUCAACAAGCUCUCUAUAUUUUACUUCAAAACUUGUCUAUUUUUAUCAAUUCAAAUUAGGGAAAUAUACAUGUAUUCCAAGUUUAAAGUCUUGUAUGUUUAAACCAAGAUUAUAUCUUUCUCAAUUCAAUAUUUAAUGAUUAUAGCCUAUGAACACUUCAUUCGUUCCUUUUAAACUAAACAAGAAUCUAAGUUUAUAGUUUAGAUUUGGUUACACUACACCAGCUCCCAUUUCUUUCUCUAAGAUUCAGUUAUAUCCUUCCAAAUUAGGACAACCACAAAUAUACGGAGUAAAACAGAGGAUUAGUGUUGGUUUUGAUGAGUACAUGCAUAAAUUUCAGGUUACAAGAUGAAAUCUAAGGUUGGAAAAACAUAGCAGCACUCAGAUUCAAAGUUGAAAUUUCAUUUAAUGCAUCAAACAAUAACCAAAUUUGACAUGCAUUCAUCAGUGAGCAUGAUAUAAGAUCGUUAGUAGGAUUUUCAUUAAGAAAUUCACUAAAAUCAACAUUUAAAAGCUAUCUUCCAUCCACGUUUCAACAUAAGCAAAGUUGAAAAGAAAUCUAACAAACAUUCAGUCCAAGUGAGGGGUUUUCCAAUAAUUUUAUUGAAUCCAUCCCAAAUCAACAUGUAAUCUCAUAAACUAAAAUGAGGACAUGCAGUUCCGAAAUCCAACAAAACUUCCGAAGAAAUUUCAAUUUUAAAACAAGAAUUUCAACUAGACAUCCAUUGAACAAGCUAACAACUGUCUCACAGUUUUGCAGCCUUUUUACAGCCUUUUCAGCCCCAUUAAUCGAGUUUUCUCCAAGAAAAACUAGCAUGAAACACUAAGUAAGGAUUAUAUUAAGUAUAUAAUAUGAUUUUCUAGUUACAUUUCACCAAAUUACCCACUUAAAAUAAAAAACUCACUAUCGGCCAUGCAGUCCUCUAAACAAGGAUUCCAGCCACUAAAGUCAAGCUUUUCACCAUAGAAACUCACAUGCAUCACCCUAUAACUUUAUACAAGACAUAGAGCACGAAUUCCAGCCAUAAUUCAACAUAAAAUCCAUUUAAAUUGGAGAGAAAACCUGACAUCAACUAGUUACCAGGCUAAUGGAUUUCUAGCUUUGAAGAUUCACGUUUCAUGAGCCAAAAAAUGAAAUAUUUCUCUAGAUAUUUCGACAUACAUUCAUUCCACCAUAUAUUCUACUGUAUAUAGCAUGUAUUUCCAGCAAGUCCAGUCAAAAUUUGAAGCAAGGGACGGCAAAUGCAAUAUAAACUCAAUCCGGACAGAUUAACUCAAAUCAAGGGAAAGUUUGAUUUUAAUCUUCAAAAGAACCACAAGUUUCUUUAUUAAAACUAAACGCAACCAGUAAUCUUCUUUACAUGUAAAGGAAAUGAAGAUUUAAGGAAGUUUUACCCCUGCUUUGACUAGAGAAAGCUGGAAAAUGAAGAAUUGCUGCACUUGUUCCUCUCUUGGCUGAAGCUGGGAAAUUCCAGCGGCUUUCCUUCAACAUUUCCAGCCCAAACCUCCAACUUUUCAUGAGCUUUUCAGCUGAGCAUCUUAUAAAACUUAAGUUAAACAUAUUGCAUGCAUCCUAAAAUCAUUCUUCCAAAGAAAACUCUGGUAACAAGCUACAAUUCCAGCUUCAUCCCCUCGAUUGUUACAGUUUUCUUUUCCAACACUUAAUCAGUCACUAAACAGAAUUUUCUACACUUAGUCAGUCAUUAAUCUAGAUUUUCUUCAGCCAAAUCCCUUUAUUUUACUCCUGAACCCAACAUGUAGGUUAGAGUUAAUGUGUUAUGAGGUGAAUUGAACCACAAAAUAAGAUUUCACAACCAAAAUUCUUAGAGGGAACUAGAAUAACUCUCUUGGCCAGCUUAACCAAUCUUCCUUGCUAACUCCUGCAAAAUUUUUCACUUAAAUAUCAUAUUUGCUCUAGAUUCUUAGAUAAAACAAGAGAGUAAACAUAUAACUCAACUCCUAGAAGAAAAUUUCCUCCGCAAUUUCGAAUAAUAAGCUACAACUUGCUUCAUUUCCUCGGCCAUAGCAAAAUUUUCUUUCCAGCAAAUAGUCAAUCAUUAUUCAAGAUUUCUACGGCCAAAACUCACUUUUCUAAGCUAAAGUCUAACAUGCAACUUGAAUCAUCAAAGAUAUUAGAAGAAUAAGAUGUUUAUAAUGAUUUUUACCUCCCUUUCUCUGUACAAUCAAAGCUGGAAAAGAAGAAAAAUGCAAGCAGUCCCCUUCCUCCUUCUCCUUCAAUUCCUUAUGGUAAAAUGCUCCAAGCUUCCUCUUUUCUCUACCUCACUCUCUUACUCACUCAGUUGACUGGAAGGAAAGAAUAGAAUCAGAGAGCUCUCUCACUCUCACUCUUUCUCUCGGUUUUGGGUAUGGAAAAGGAAGAAAGCUUAUUACUCUAUUUUGUCUAUUUUUGUUUGCUCUCGGUAUUGGCUAUCAAAAGAAAUGCCUUGUUUCUU